RNAcentral lists this ribosomal RNA (505 nucleotides) under uncultured bacterium. RNAcentral's name for it is "partial 16S ribosomal RNA". It matches the Rfam family "Bacterial small subunit ribosomal RNA", at positions 29 to 523 of the family's 1533-position model. The record is from RNAcentral.
AGUGAACGCUGGCGGUAGGCCUAACACAUGCAAGUCGAACGGCAGCACGGGAGAGCUUGCUCUCUGGGUGGCGAGUGGCGGACGGGUGAGGAAUACAUCGGAAUCUACUCUGUCGUGGGGGAUAACGUAGGGAAACUUACGCUAAUACCGCAUACGACCUACGGGUGAAAGCAGGGGACCUUCGGGCCUUGCGCGAUUGAAUGAGCCGAUGUCGGAUUAGCUAGUUGGCGGGGUAAAGGCCCACCAAGGCGGCGAUCCGUAGCUGGUCUGAGAGGAUGAUCAGCCACACUGGAACUGAGACACGGUCCAGACUCCUACGGGAGGCAGCAGUGGGAAUAUUGGACAAUGGGCGCAAGCCUGAUCCAGCCAUACCGCGUGGGUGAAGAAGGCCUUCGGGUUGUAAAGCCCUUUUGUUGGGAAAGAAAUCCAGCUGGCUAAUACCCGGUUGGGAUGACGGUACCCAAAGAAUAAGCACCGGCUAACUUCGUGCCAGCCGCCGCCGUAA